This 179-nucleotide small RNA is filed under the name Chrysemys picta bellii (western painted turtle). RNAcentral describes it as "TUC338 (ENSCPBG00000028217.1)". The record is from RNAcentral. Lineage: Eukaryota; Metazoa; Chordata; Testudines; Emydidae.
CUGACAGCCCUGGAGAUUGAAAUCCUCAGUUUGAACAGGUACAACAUGGGCAUCACUAGUGCAAACUUCCUCUGUGCUGGCCCAGCAAAGUGCCUCUGCCUGGUUUUGGAGUGACCACCCUAGACAUGCCUAAUUGUAAUCCUUGAGUUCUCUGCAGCAAAUAUCAUUCAAGAGUGAUC